Molecule: ribosomal RNA, 588 nt
Filed under: uncultured bacterium
Lineage: Bacteria
Description: partial 16S ribosomal RNA
Rfam family: Bacterial small subunit ribosomal RNA
Source: RNAcentral
UGGGGAAUUUUGGACAAUGGGCGCAAGCCUGAUCCAGCCAUGCCGCGUGCGGGAAGAAGGCCUUCGGGUUGUAAACCGCUUUUGUCAGGGAAGAAAUCUUCUGAGUUAAUACCUCAGGAGGAUGACGGUACCUGAAGAAUAAGCACCGGCUAACUACGUGCCAGCAGCCGCGGUAAUACGUAGGGUGCAAGCGUUAAUCGGAAUUACUGGGCGUAAAGCGUGCGCAGGCGGUUUUGUAAGACAGAGGUGAAAUCCCCGGGCUCAACCUGGGAACUGCCUUUGUGACUGCAAGGCUUGAGUGCGGCAGAGGGGGGAUGGAAUUCCGCGUGUAGCAGUGAAAUGCAUAGAUAUGCGGAGGAACACCGAUGGCGAAGGCAAUCCCCUGGGCCUGCACUGACGCUCAUGCACGAAAGCGUGGGGAGCAAACAGGAUUAGAUACCCUGGUAGUCCACGCCCUAAAACGAUGUCAACUGGUUGUUGGGAAGGUUCCUUCUCAGUAACGUAGCUAACGCGUGAAGUUGACCGCCUGGGGAGUACGGCCGCAAGGUUAAAACUCAAAUGAAUUGACGGGGUCAUAGCUGUUUCCUG